RNAcentral lists this long non-coding RNA (769 nucleotides) under Solanum tuberosum (potato). RNAcentral describes it as "long non-coding RNA (STUB_LNC009051)". The record is from RNAcentral. Lineage: Eukaryota; Viridiplantae; Streptophyta; Magnoliopsida; Solanales; Solanaceae.
UCGUUUAAAGGUUCUCAGAUUUGAUCUAGUUUUCUGUUGUUAAAUGCUUACAUGAUCUGCCUUGUUUUAGCUUUAAUUCAAAACCAACCUGUGGAUAGUUUAAAUAAUGUUGUGAUACUCGUAUCUUAUUAGGAUCCUGAAUUAAAAUGACUAAAUUUCUUCCUUCGACAUAAUAUUCCAUUAACAAUCAGAGCAUAAAGAAGCAAUUUUAUUGUGUCUGUUGAUUUCAUGAAACUAGAGCCAAAAAGUACCUUGUAAUAACACUAAUGUGAUAAUAUGACUUCUUGUGGAACCAACUGGUAAAAUUAUCCAAAUCUUUGGCAUUUGUUGUAUAAAUUGGCUGAAACAUAAUAAAAUAUAUUAGUGCAGGUGUGUGUUUUACUCCUGCUUAUUUAUUUGUUAGAAUUUAUAGUUGUGUGGGCAAUGUGUAUGUGAUCCAGAUGUAGACAAAAUCUAUCGUAAAAGAUGACUCGAUCAGAAACUACGUAUGUAGAUUAAGUUUAGUAUUUGCUUUGAUGUCCCUAUCCUCCAUUAUAAGUGAACUUCCUACAAUGUCCUGUUAAGAUGUCUGUGAUUAUGUAGUAAGGAUGUUGCUGACCUUCUGUUAAGAAUUGUGAUUUUUGAGUUUUAAAGUCUUACUUCAUCCGUGCUUAGCUGCGACUUCACAUAGUUGCACAUUAUUACUUGUAAAAAUCUAGAUUUAAUGGUUUUCUUCCUCUAACAUGAUACAAUCUUAUUUUGACUAGUGUUUUAGAAUGAUAUGAGCCCC